This 508-nucleotide ribosomal RNA is filed under the name uncultured bacterium. RNAcentral describes it as "bacterial SSU rRNA". It matches the Rfam family "Bacterial small subunit ribosomal RNA", at positions 40 to 521 of the family's 1533-position model. The record is from RNAcentral.
CGGCAGUGAUAAGACAUGCAAGUCGAACGAUCACUAGUGGGUAGCAAUAUUCGCUAGUGGGAGUGGCGCAAGGGUGCGUAACACGUGGUAAUUUGCCAUGAAGUCUGGAAUAACUUGCUGAAAGGCGAGCUAAUACCGGAUGUGAUUACUGGAAGGCAUCUUCUGGUACUUAAAGUCGGGGACCGUAAGGCCUGACACUUCUUGAUAAGCCCGCGGCCUAUCAGCUAGUUGGUGGGGUAACGGCUCACCAAGGCUAAGACGGGUAGCUGGUCUGAGAGGACGACCAGCCUCACUGGAACUGAGACACGGUCCAGACACCUACGGGUGGCAGCAGUCGAGAAUUUUUCUCAAUGGGGGAAAACCCUGAAGGAGCGACGCCGCGUGGGGGAUGAAUGGCUUCGGCCCGUAAACCCCUGUCAUUUGCGAUCAAACCUUACGACCUAACACGUCGUAAGCUGAUAGUAGCGGAAGAGGAAGGGACGGCUAACUCUGUGCCAGCAGCCGCGGU